RNAcentral lists this ribosomal RNA (832 nucleotides) under Prochlorococcus sp. SCGC AAA298-I05. RNAcentral's name for it is "SSU rRNA". It matches the Rfam family "Bacterial small subunit ribosomal RNA", at positions 35 to 913 of the family's 1533-position model. Lineage: Bacteria; Bacillati; Cyanobacteriota; Cyanophyceae; Synechococcales; Prochlorococcaceae. The record is from RNAcentral.
GCUGGCGGCGUGCUUAACACAUGCAAGUCGAACGAACCUUCGGGUUAGUGGCGGACGGGUGAGUAACGCGUGAGAAUCUGCCCUCAGGAGGGGGAUAACGGUUGGAAACGACCGCUAAUACCCCAUAUGCCUACUGGUGAAAUGAAUUUCGCCUGAGGAUGAGCUCGCGUCUGAUUAGCUAGUUGGUGAGGUAAUGGCUCACCAAGGCUUCGAUCAGUAGCUGGUCUGAGAGGAUGAUCAGCCACACUGGGACUGAGACACGGCCCAGACUCCUACGGGAGGCAGCAGUGGGGAAUUUUCCGCAAUGGGCGAAAGCCUGACGGAGCAACGCCGCGUGAGGGACGAAGGCCUCUGGGCUGUAAACCUCUUUUCUCAAGGAAGAAGAUAUGACGGUACUUGAGGAAUAAGCCACGGCUAAUUCCGUGCCAGCAGCCGCGGUAAUACGGGAGUGGCAAGCGUUAUCCGGAAUUAUUGGGCGUAAAGCGUCCGCAGGCGGCUUUUCAAGUCUGCUGUUAAAGCGUGGAGCUUAACUCCAUCAUGGCAGUGGAAACUGAAAGGCUUGAGUAUGGUAGGGGCAGAGGGAAUUCCCGGUGUAGCGGUGAAAUGCGUAGAUAUCGGGAAGAACACCAGUGGCGAAGGCGCUCUGCUGGGCCAUUACUGACGCUCAUGGACGAAAGCCAGGGGAGCGAAAGGGAUUAGAUACCCCUGUAGUCCUGGCCGUAAACGAUGAACACUAGGUGUCGGGGGAAUCGACCCCUUCGGUGUCGUAGCUAACGCGUUAAGUGUUCCGCCUGGGGAGUACGCACGCAAGUGGUGAACUCAAUGUAAUGCG